GAUGCUAAUAGAGUGAGAGAACAACUUUGAAAUCAUGAAUAUGAUUAGUGUUCCUGAGCUCCUGCGUGCCAGGGUACAUGAAAUGGACUCCCUACUGAAGGCACGAGAAUCUGGUCACAAGCCGGAAACCCUGAAGAUGAUGUACAGACACAAGACCAGCAGAAACAGGAAGAAGAAAAAUAAUAAGAAUAAGUGAAC
Molecule: long non-coding RNA, 198 nt
Organism: Tachysurus vachellii
Lineage: Eukaryota; Metazoa; Chordata; Actinopteri; Siluriformes; Bagridae
Exons: 3
Source: RefSeq, a predicted model, not a curated record